RNAcentral lists this ribosomal RNA (99 nucleotides) under Sorex araneus (European shrew). The record is from RNAcentral. Lineage: Eukaryota; Metazoa; Chordata; Mammalia; Eulipotyphla; Soricidae.
CAUACCACCCUGAACACAUCCAAUCUCGUCUGAUCUCAGAAGCUAGGCAGGGUUGAGCCUGGUUAGUAAAUUGAGAAAUACCAUUCAAAAUACUGGGUU